This 3703-nucleotide long non-coding RNA is filed under the name Brassica napus (rape). RNAcentral describes it as "long non-coding RNA (BNAP_LNC022407)". Lineage: Eukaryota; Viridiplantae; Streptophyta; Magnoliopsida; Brassicales; Brassicaceae. The record is from RNAcentral.
AGAACAGAUCUUUAGAAAGAAAGAAAAUAAAAGAGUGGAACCCACUUCGUCCCCCAAAAAUGAAAAUAUAGUAUAAUCAAAUUUUAAUUUGCUGCGUGAUUUGAGCCGCUAGAUUGAGAGAAGGUGAGAGGGUCACGUGAGGAAGUAAAGAGAGGUUAGGUGAGCAUUGGACACGAAUGUUGCCAGCUAUCGCCGCCAUUUUCAUUGGUCCAACCCAAACCUUCCAUGCAAUAUUCGGCUUUUUGUUUUCUGAAAACAAUAUUGAAAAUGAAGUCAAAUUCAUUUGAUUUCUCUUUUUUUUUGUUCAAGUGAUUUGUUGGUGUGUAAAUGACCUUUAUGAUACUGCAUUAAAAAAUUAAAAAUGUGCAAAUUAACUAGAUUACUUUUAUAAAAAAAAAUUAACUAGAUUAUUAAAUAGUUUGUGUUAUCUUAUUCACAUAGUAAUAGCUUUGUAUUUAUACAUACAUUAGAUCCUAUUCUGAUAAGAACUACGAACAUACUAUUACACAUUGUUAUCCAGUUACAUUUAAGAGUUAUCUCAAUAGUUAUGUAUUUCUUGGGUUACAUUUAGUGAUAAUAAGUACAGUAGGCAUUGUGCAUUGUGCAUUAUGCUUAGAGUAAGACAUUUCUUAGAUUCUAUCUGUUAUUCGUUUUGAUUCGAUCCAAAAAAAUUGGAUAUUUACAUUAUCAAUUAUAAAAAUAUUAUAUAAAGAUAAAAAGAAAAUAUCUUGACACCUAUAACUCUGUUAAGUUUUGUUUUUAACUAAUUUUAAAAUUUUAUCAAGCAUAUAGUUUCACUAGUUUUUAUUUUUAAUUUUUAUAUAUAUUAUGUAAAAUAUUUUAAGAAUAAAUUAGUAUUGAUUUUUUUCUUAAUUAUUUGUUUUAAGGAGUAUAAAUAAGAUAUCCGCAAUUAUUGAUAGUAUUUGAUUUGUGUUUAUCCCUAAUUAUGCCAAUCAGGUUUGCAUGCUAGUUUGGAACGGCUAUGUCGGAUAUGAUUGAUGUCGCGCCGCGGUUGUUUGUUUCCUCGAACAGAUUUAUACGUUGAUUUUUUUCGAUCUAGUUUUUUAUCGUCUCUUGGUGCCUCGAUCGGCAUGUACCAUAUGCAGUCUUGUUUUUGUUUUAUCAGCUGUUGGAGUUUUUUUUUAACUUAUUUAUCAUGAUAGCAAUACGAAAAAUCUGUAUCACUUUCGAUGUUGUCGGUAUAAACCGAUUUUGUAGAACUUUUUGGUUUAUUAGGCUUUUUUAAACUGGAUUCAUCUGGGAUACGGUGAAACUCUUUUUUUUUUAAUUAUUGUAAAAAAUGAAUCUAGCAGUAAAACAGUCAUCAGUAUUGUUUUUAUUACUUGUAAAGGUUUAAAUUAUUUAAUAAAAUUAAACACAAUGUUCUUGACCUUUUUCCACACUAUUCAUGUCAACUAUUAAUUUACAUCAAAAAAAUUUGCAUGUUUAUAAAACUGUUAUCAAACAAUUCGAAAAUAUGUCUGCUUUUAUGAUCAAAACACGGUAAUAAGAUAGAGACAGAGCAUCUGUCAGUGACAUGGACUAUGGUACUAAAAGUUCGCGAUUUCGUUGUCUUAUUCACCGAAUCAUCAUGAUUUUUCUAUUAGCUCACCUCGUCCGUCAAUAGAGAGUUGAAAACGGUAUUAGAAACAAAAUGUACUAAAUUGCUCAAAAAAAAAAAAGAAAAAAAGUACUGUUGAACAAAAAGAACGAAACAAAAUGUACUAUAUAACAAAUAUUGAAAUAUGUGUACAUACGGAGGAGAUGAUGAGAAAACUCGAUUUUCUGAUCAACUCGAUCAGAUUCUUUCAGAGAGAGCGCGAGAGAGUUUCAUCCCUUUAUCUUACCGGUUUCUAGUUCCGGUGAAGGUUUUCCGAGGUUCGGGCUUUGGUUCGGCAUAUAGUGGUUCCCACAACACGAUAUGGCUGGUUUGUUGACUCCGACGAUUCACUUUUCAUUUUGGUGAUGUCGGCUGGUACUGGGGUUGUGGUUUUGAUUUCAGAUCAGAAGGAGUAGAAGUUUAUGCCUUGUGUUUGGUGGUUCGGUUCGUAGAUGAGAUCUCGAUUUAGAUCGAUUGAAGCUCUCAGAAGAACGAGCACAAAGGUAUGUGUUGAAGACGAUGGAUUUCCCCUACCUUCCACAUAGUUGUUGGAGGUUUCUUUCGUCGUGGUGGUCCUAGGUGAUUCCGGUGGUUUCGAGGAGAAGUUUAGUCCGGUGGAGACGUUCGGUCGAUGAAGACGAUGGCAAGUUGCAUGUGUUUCCCGGCGAGAUUCCGGUGAAACAACUCGUGUUUCUCCGGAGGUGGAGAAGACAAAGGGAGAUGACGACACAUGUUACCUUGUUGUUGAGGUUCUAACACGUGUCUUUCGACGUGUUGGGUGAUCGGUGCAGCUUGGGUGGGCUUUUGGUUUUGGGCUUUGCCCCUUCAAUUUUUUCCUUGUUUGUUAGUUUUUUCGGUUGGACUUCAGAUUUGUUAUGUGGAUUUUUGUAUGGGCUUUGCUUUCUGAACUUUGUUUUUCAAAUAAUAAUUCACAGAUGGAAAAAAAAAAUUUGAAAUAUGUGUAUAUAAAUAGGUAAACAAAAGUCCAAAAUAUACAUCAACAGAAAGACUACAAAAACUGGAGAACGCAAAAUAUUAAUCAGCUACGUGUUUGUGUGUGUGUGUCAUAUUUUUCUUCGACAAACUAUAUCUUCUAACCAAUUUAUAAUUAUUUUCUUCUACAUUUUCUUGUUGUGUAGUAUUCUUUUUUCCGUGGGAACUAGGGACCUAGUGUGAAUAUAUAUACUAUUCUUGUACUUUAUGCAACAAGUUGAUGAGUCCAGUCCUUUCUAAACCCAAAAAUGCUGAAGGUUUUUAGAAUAAUGAAACAGGCAGCCUAUGAGCUGGCAAAUUAAUUUAAGGAAAAAUGGUCAAUCGAUUAAAAACAGAGAAUACUGGCCAUUUUUUAAAGACUGUAUUGGAGCAUGGGUUUGAGUUCUUGUUCUAUUCUAACACAAAAUCACACACCAGAUCACCCCAUUUUCUGGUAACCACACACUUGGUUUCUCUUGUUCUUGUUCUGAUUAUACCAUAACCCAUAUCAAGAAUCAAAAAACCCAACAUCCAACUUAAGUAAUCUAAGGGUUCCAUUAUUCUAACACAAAACGCUAAGAGAGAGAGAGAGAGAGAGAGAACUGACCUUUAAGAGAGCUAAGGCAUGAGAGAUGGAGAAGAGAGAUCGUGAGAGGUGAAAAGAGGUGUGAGAGAUGGAGAUGAGAGAUCGUGAGAGAUGGUGAAGAGAGGUGUGAGAGAGGCGUGAGAGAUGGUGAAGGGAGAGAGAGAGAGCUGAGGCCUGAGAGAUCGUGAGAGAUGGUGAAGAGAGAGAGAGAGAGAGAGAGAGAGAGAGAGAAGAGAGGCGUGAGAGAUGGCUAAGAGAGAGAGAGAGAGAGCUGAGGCGUGAGAAAUUAUUUUAGGAUUUAGGUUACUGGUAUUGUUUUGUAAUUUUGAAGAUAGAUUGAGGGUGUUUUUGUAUUUUGAGUUUUUUUUUUCUGAUCGCAGCUAGGUUUUGGUCGCAAACGCUGAAUUUCUCGGCGAUCAAAAUUUUUAAUCGCGGGUCGCUAGCGUCUGGUCGCUGCGAUCAGUCGCUGAACGUGCGACCGGUAAACGAACAACGUUUAGACGCUCAGGUUGGUCGCUGACGCUAGCGACCUCCAAACGAACAUG